AAUAAGUGUAGUUUUGCACUAUUCAUCUCCAAUAUUUGACCGUUCGUUUUAUUUGAAAAUUUUUUAUGAUUACUAUUUUUAUUGCUAUUAGAUGAUAGAACAUGAAUAGUAUUUUAUGUGUGACUAAUUCUUUUAAAAAAUUUUAUAAAGUUUUCAAAUAAGACGGACGGUCAAAUGUUGGACACGAAUUUUCACGAUUGCACUUAUU
Molecule: non-coding RNA, 208 nt
Organism: Oryza barthii
Lineage: Eukaryota; Viridiplantae; Streptophyta; Magnoliopsida; Poales; Poaceae
Source: Rfam